RNAcentral lists this ribosomal RNA (253 nucleotides) under uncultured bacterium. RNAcentral describes it as "partial 16S ribosomal RNA". It matches the Rfam family "Bacterial small subunit ribosomal RNA", at positions 524 to 776 of the family's 1533-position model. The record is from RNAcentral.
GACGAACCGAGCGAACGUUGUUCGGAAUCACUGGGCUUAAAGGGCGCGUAGGCGGGGGCUCAAGUCCGUGGUGAAAUCCUCCGGCUCAACCGGAGAACUGCCUCGGAUACUGGGCGUCUCGAGUGUGGUAGGGGUAUGCGGAACUAUCGGUGGAGCGGUGAAAUGCGUUGAUAUCGAUAGGAACUCCGGUGGCGAAGGCGGCAUACUGGACCACCACUGACGCUGAUGCGCGAAAGCCAGGGGAGCAAACGGG